This 468-nucleotide ribosomal RNA is filed under the name uncultured bacterium. Its description in RNAcentral is "partial 16S ribosomal RNA". It matches the Rfam family "Bacterial small subunit ribosomal RNA", at positions 28 to 507 of the family's 1533-position model. The record is from RNAcentral.
GACGAACGCUGGCGGCGGGCUUAACACAUGCAAGUCGAACGGAAAGGCCCUGCUUUUGUGGGGUUCUCGAGUGGCGAACGGGUGAGUAACACGUGAGUAACCUUCCCUUGACUUUGGGAUAACUUCAGGAAACUGGGGCUAAUACCGGAUAGGAGCUCCUGCUGCAUGGUGGGGGUUGGAAAGUUUCGGCGGUUGGGGAUGGACUCGCGGCUUAUCAGCUUGUUGGUGGGGUAGUGGCUUACCAAGGCUUUGACGGGUAGCCGGACUGAGAGGGUGACCGGCCACAUUGGGACUGAGAUACGGCCCAGACUCCUACGGGAGGCAGCAGUGGGGAAUAUUGCACAAUGGGCGGAAGCCUGAUGCAGCAACGCCGCGUGCGGGAUGACGGCCUUCGGGUUGUAAACCGCUUUCGCCUGUGACGAAGCGUGAGUGACGGUAAUGGGUAAAGAAGCACCGGCUAACUACGUG